AUCUAAGUAAUUAACAAAAUAAAUAUUACUCAAUGCCAUUUGUGUGCUUCUCAUUGGUCCUUUGAAAAUUAUCCCUCUCUUCUUCCUCUCCUCACUUUCGUUCUCUCUCUCAUCGUCUCUUCUUCUCUUUUCCCUAAAACCCAGAAUCACAAAAAAAAACAAACCCUAAACUCCUCUCUCUAUUAUGAUUCAGAUCUAGAAACAUGGAAGAAUGUUAUCAUUCCUCUCGCCGUCGCCACCAUCGUGUCUUCUGUCACCUUUCUCUCUCUCUUUCUCUUUUUCUCUCUUUUUUCUCUGAAGCCCUAAAACGCCGCCACCCUUUCUGCCUCUAUUAUUGGUGACCACCACCUCCGAUGAAAAAAUCAAAGCCAUUUUCGUACUAUCCGUCUCAUGGCCUUCCUAAUGAACUGGCAGUUUAAGAGAAAACUGAAGACUCAAACUUCUUGCUGAAAGGGGAAAUUCUAAAAAAGCAACAACUAUAUUGGAAACUACCAGACUUGGUCAGACCUGCAGUUCGAGGCAACAACUCAGUUUCGAAGUUGCUUUCAAUUGAAUGUAGCCCACAGAUUGAGGAGGUUAUACAAAUUGGUGUGGUUCCGUGAUUUGUUGAGUUUUUAAUAAGGGAGGGUUUUCCACAGCUACAGAUUGGUAUAAGUUAUAACAAAUGAUUUUCACUAUUUGGAGAUGGCACCUCUUCCAUCCAAAGCAAAGCGUUGCAUCCUCUGUUUUGUAGAGCUCCGGGAUUUGCCUCUCCGUGAUGUUGAUGAAAGAAGAGUCUGGCCCAUGCCCAAUCAAUGUGGCUUGGCCAAUUAGCAAGUGUCAUUCCAAAGGUGGAGCAGUGUCUGAAAUUUUUUUGAAGUCGCAGAAUAUACUUUCUGUUGGAAAUCACCAGACUCCCAAGGCGAAGAAACCGUAUACCAUCACUAAACAAAGGGAGAAGUGGACUGAAGAAGAGCAUCAAAAGUUCAUCAAGGCUUUGAAAUUAUAUGGCUGUGGCUGGCGUCAAAUUGAAGCGCGAAGAUUUAUUUUUCAGGUUAUGCGGGAACCUGAUGGCAGCGCUGAAGGUCCUAUUCAGCCAAUUAACAUACCUCCUCCUCACCCAAAGCGGAAAUCUCUUCAUCCAUACCCUCGCAAAUCAAUUGAGACUUUCAAGGGACAGUCAGUCCUGAAUGAAUCAUAAAGAUCUCCAUCCAUUAACUUGUCCGCUGUAGAUAACAACACCCAAUCUCCAACCUCGGUACUAUCUGCAUUUGAUUCGGAAGCGUAAGGGUUAGCAGCAUUUUCUAAGCAGACUAACAGAUGCCUUUCUCCAAACUCUUACACCACCGAGAUUCACCCGUUAUACCGGGAAUGAGAAAUCUUGCGUUUGACAUGCUAGAGAUUUUGCUGAUGCUAUGGAUUUUGCAGUUAUACCGAUUAUUGACGCUAAAUUGUUGCAAGCACAUUCUCAAUUUGGUGCAGCUGGUGCUGCAGCAGUCACUGUUGCUGCUCACAGGCAUUCUGCAGGCUUUUAGUAUGGACUGUCAAUAGAUUGGGAGCUCUCAAAGAGAGAUUUGCCAGAAAUGCUUUGUGCCUAAGUUAGGAAGUUAAAUUUUUGUUGGGUUUAGUUUUUGUUUUCUACGUCUGCUUUCAUCAUUGUAAUUAUAUGUAUAUCAUUUAAUUGAUUAAUAAAAAUAUUGAUUGUUCCUCUC
Molecule: long non-coding RNA, 1691 nt
Organism: Vicia villosa (hairy vetch)
Lineage: Eukaryota; Viridiplantae; Streptophyta; Magnoliopsida; Fabales; Fabaceae
Exons: 9
Source: RefSeq, a predicted model, not a curated record